CCUACGGGUGGCAGCAGUGAGGAAUAUUGGUCAAUGGACGAGAGUCUGAACCAGCCAAGUAGCGUGAAGGAUGACUGCCCUAUGGGUUGUAAACUUCUUUUAUAAAGGAAUAAAGUGAGGCACGUGUGCCUUUUUGCAUGUACUUUAUGAAUAAGGAUCGGCUACCUCCGUGCCAGAAGCCGCGGUAAUCCGGAGGAUCCGAGCGUUAUCCGGAUUUAUUGGGUUUAACGGGAUCGUAGGUGGGUUGGUAAGUCAGUUGUGAAAGUUUGCGGCACAACCGUAAAAUUGCAAUUGAUACUGGCAGUCGUGAGUACAGUUGAGGUAGGCGGAAUUCGUGGUGUAGCGGUGAAAUGCUGAGAUAUCACGAAGAACCCCGAUUGCGAAGGCAGCUUGCUAAACUGUGACUGACAUUGAUGCUCGAAAGUGUGGGUAUCAAACAGGAUUAGAUACCCUAGUAGUC
RNAcentral lists this ribosomal RNA (460 nucleotides) under uncultured bacterium. RNAcentral's name for it is "partial 16S ribosomal RNA". It matches the Rfam family "Bacterial small subunit ribosomal RNA", at positions 338 to 795 of the family's 1533-position model. The record is from RNAcentral.